CGAACGCUGGCGGCGUGCUUAACACAUGCAAGUCGAGCGAUGAAGUUUCUUCGGAAAUGGAUUAGCGGCGAACGGGUGAGGAACACGUGAAGAAUCUGCCCUCCACUUUGGGAUAACACCGGGAAACCGGUGCUAAUACCGAAUAUUGAAACAUAAGUGGCAUACACUGAGUUUUGAAAGAAUUUCGGUGGAGGAUGACUUCGCGGCCUAUCAGCUAGUUGGUGAGGUAAUGGCUCACCAAGGCAACGACGGGUAGCCGGCCUGAGAGGGCGACCGGCCACACUGGGACUGAGACAGGCCCAGACUCCGUACGGGAGGCAGCAGUGGGGAAUAUUCCGCAAUGGGCGAAAGCCUGACGGAGCAACGCCGCGUGAGGGAUGAAGGCCUCUGGGCUGUAAACCUCUUUUACUCAAGGAAGAAGAUCUGACGGUACUUGAGGAAUAAGCCACGGCUAAUUCCGUGCCAGCAGCCACGGUAAUCUGAUG
RNAcentral lists this ribosomal RNA (485 nucleotides) under uncultured Acidimicrobiales bacterium. RNAcentral describes it as "bacterial SSU rRNA". It matches the Rfam family "Bacterial small subunit ribosomal RNA", at positions 30 to 531 of the family's 1533-position model. Lineage: Bacteria; Bacillati; Actinomycetota; Acidimicrobiia; Acidimicrobiales. The record is from RNAcentral.